This is an RNA transcript of Malania oleifera, 4116 nucleotides long. It is a transcript of the gene named pantothenate kinase 1-like, with no coding region annotated. NCBI's taxonomy places the organism in Eukaryota, Viridiplantae, Streptophyta, Magnoliopsida, Santalales, Ximeniaceae. The record is from RefSeq and is a predicted model, not a curated record. The transcript has 9 exons.
GUUUUACAGUGGCAGUGUUACUCUUCUGUUUUAUGAAGGAAAGCUCAGGAGCUUGCACCGGUUAACAAUGAAACUGCCUUCGGUGCCCAGGUUCGCAGGCGAUGAGCAUCGAGCCAAUAGAUUUAAGGGUUCUGGAACUUCAAAUUUUCCAUGAACUUUGAGGAGAAACUGAUUGAAGUUGAUUAUAAUUUGAGCUAAUGCCAGAGACUAUUUGUCUUACUAUUUCGAUGAAUUUCGUUCCGAGGAGGGAGCUUCGGUUUUUGGUCUCGCGUCUCGAAUGUUUCCUAUAAGCUGGAAUUGCAGACGGCAGCCGGUGACGGCAUCCAGUCUCCGAUCCGUUCAGCACCGCAGUUUCCUCCUCAGCGAAUAAAUUGGAGGGUAGACAGCCGUGUGUUGAAAAUGGAAAACUCAAAGCAUCAAUGCGAAUUUGAACGCAAUGGAGUUAUGGCUCAUCAAAAAUUUCGAACUCUUGUCAAAGUAGUGUAUCUUUCAAGGCACAACAAGAGAUGUACAAAAGGGCAGAAUGACAUCCUUUCAGAUGGGAAUACAAUAGAGUGUCAGUCUUGGCGGGCUCCUACAUGUUACGAUGUUUGAGACAAAACAUUUGAAUCAAUGGAUUGAGUUUCUUCGGACUGAACAACUGUUUAAAGGUCGGGCAUCGAAGGGCUCAAGUUGGGGGAUGAUAAGCUUCAUGGGAAGAUGCAAGGCCUCCUUAAUUCCAUGAUGGAUUCAUCAAGGAACCAACCAGGGGUAACUCCAAGUCGAUCCUGUGGCCUCGAAGGAAGAAAUCAAGGAUGUCAAAGUGGAUUGGUCCCUUUAUAAGACUGUGAUAAUUCAAGGGGAAGUUUGUGGUGUCCUAGCUUUAGAAAUAAUAUAAAGAAAAGACAAAUUAAGAAGAACAGGAGGAGAACUGAGGAGUUUAAACAAGGAGAAAAAGGAGGAGGAGAACAAGAAUAGAAAAGGAAGAAGAAGAAAUGAAGCAAUCAUACAAUCUUAAAUAAAGAUCUGAAGUUACAAAUUUUAGUUGAGUAUUCACUGUCCUCAGAGAAGAUCUCAACCUUCUAAUAGCUGAAAAACCUUGAUAAAGCUAAUUCCUGAAUCAAACUAAUUCUGAGAAUGUAUUUUAAGCAUGUUUGAAAGAAACUCAAAAAGAAACACAAGCUUUUUCUAGUUCAUUGUCAUUGUAGUGUAAACUAGAGUGCAGUACAGUCAUACGAAUGGCACAAUGAUUGAACUGUAAGGUGCAAGGAACAAGGGUUCUGGUGGUUGCUGCUAAUAUUGCAGAGGUGGCUAGGGUUGUAAUAGGGGAUGGCAAGGCUACAAAAUAUGGGCCUGGUUGUCUGGUAUUCAUCUUGGAUGUGGGCCAGGUUUGUGAGAAAGGUGGUGUUUCUUUUUUAACAAAAUUGGGCCAUUAAUAGAACAGGCCCAAUGUUUUGACAAGAAUGCUAUGGGCUUUUCUCUAGUUCAAAAGCAGGCUCUCAUAAACAGGGGCUUUCACAGAUGGGCCUCGUAUCUGAAAAGGAAGUUCAAGGAUAUGGGUGAUCAGGCCCUUCCCUUGCACAACUCUGUUACUGAACAAGCCCACUAUCCUAGCCAAACUUUUAUAUGGGAUAUGUGGGUAUUCAGCAAGAUGUUAAUGAAAUACAAAAUCUCUCUCCAGAUCUCCAAAAUAAAUAUAGAAUGAAUCUACAUGCAGAGCAUAUUCAGGAUGAUUUUUAGUUUGGUUUUGAAAACAGUUCGUGAUGAAAAUGAUGAUAAUAAUUAAGUGUCAAAUUGUCCGUUGAUUCUGGUUUUGCAUAGGGAUUAGAGGCUGGUGUCUCCAGGAUAAAAAGAAGAAGCUGGAUUGGAUAGGAAAUCUGGUGUUUCAGGAUUUAAUUCUGAAAAAUGCAAGGGUCCUAAGUUGUAUGCACAUGGCAAGGUUGCUAUCAAUGGGUGUGAAUGAGGAAAUUAUAUGAAGCAAAGAGAGAGCAUUCCAGAGAGUUAUGAGGAGAGAUUCUGAAGGAGAGUUGAGCAUUGUGGAAGAUAAACUUGCUAAGAGGAAGGAUAUAGCAAGUGAUGGAGUUAGCAAAAGAAAGGAGGCUAGGAAAUGGGGAGAUUUUUCAGAUAACGAUAGUAAUAACAUCAAUGAUUUUGACUGUGGUGGUGGUUUGACGUUGGAUGAGAUUCCGGAGCAAUACGGAUAUGUUUUUGGUUCCUGUGAUGUUCUUGGGAACCUAUUGACUGUGAUGGUGGUUUUCUGUUGGAUGAGAUUUGGGAACAAUAUGGAUACGUUUUUGAUUCCUGUGAUGUUUCUCGGGGACCUAUCAUAUGUACAUCCUGCCCUGUUGGAAGGAUUGGAGGGGGUUCCUAUUUUGAGAACAAUGGUUUGGAUAAUAAACUGCAUGCAACGAUGGAAUUUUACCUACACCAGUGGAGGUGAUUUCUAGGAAGGACACAGAAGCCCAAGAUAUAAUGGAUAAACUGGAUUUAAAAAUGCGUGAUGCUGGUGGAAUUGAAGUGUGCUUUGAUAGGGGGCAAGUACAAAGUGAAGGAGGGUUAGAGGGAGCUAGCAAAUUUAAAGUUCUCGGUGAAUUAUGACAGAAAGGGAUUGAAAGGGUUUUCUUGGUUAGGUGUACUAUUCUUUUAUUUUUAUUUUUUAUUUUUAUUUUAAUUUCUUAUUUUGAUUUUUUUUUUUUGUUUCUGUUUUUUUUUUUCUUUCAGGUGGGCUUCUUGUCCCCUUAGGUUGUAACUUUUAAUGUGUUUAAGCAUACUCCAUUACUCCCCCAACCCAAAACUGUUCUAGCCAGAUUGAUUACUAUCGGACAAUUAUAAACUGACCUGGAGCAUAUUCCUACGAUUGUUAGAGAAAAUAGCUUUCCUGACUCCUGGAUUAUUUUAAGAAUGAUAAAAUAAAGCAUGGGGUUGCUUAUUUCAUUUCAUUUUCGCUUAGAUCUACAUCUUUGAGGUUAUAUCUGAUGUUUGGUUAAUGCAAUGGAAAAGGAAAUUUUUCUUAGUGGAUAAUCUAUUUGAUCUUCCUUGCUCCUUUAUUUAACUGCCAUCUUAAUUUCCCCUUAAUGUGUUUACUGGAUUAAUAAUUAUAUGAUUUGCUUCAAUUUUUUCAGCAUAAUCUUUCACCCUCUGCCAUUGCUUCUAGCUUUGGGAAGGUCAACAGCAGUAGAAAGCUUUCAGAAUACAAAGUUGAGGAUCUUGCAGCCACUCUUUUAAGAGAUUUUACAUACCAUAUAGCACAGAUCUCCUACCUUGUAGCUGCCCUCUUGGGGCUUAAGAAGAUCUAUUUUGGAGGUUCAUACAUACGCAGGAAUGGCUUCACAAUGGAUAAUAUUUCAUACGGGCUUAAUUACUGGUCCAAAGGUCAAAUGCAAGCUGUAUUUUUACAACAUGAAGGUUUCUUAGGAGCUGUAGGUGCACUACUGAAAUACAACAGGAUUAAUGCUGAUGUGUUGCUGCCACAUGUGUCUACCACAGAGCUUUCUUGUGUUUCAGGCACUGAAUACGAUAGUAGAGAAUUAUACGAAGGUGAAGAUAGUCUCAGCAGAGAGGUGCAGACGCUAAGAUCUGAGAUAGAUAUUAUACAAAAGGAGAAGGCAAUACUGAUUGAACAGUUGCACGCAAAAAAUUCAAGCAAUGGGUGAAAGUUCUGAAGGUGAACAUGUGAAUGUGUUCCUUUCCAAGCAGUUUGAAAGCUGAAGACAAUCAUGCCACAGCCAAACAGAUAGAAGUAUGCCUCACAAGUUUACUUUUUGCCAGUACUAGCAUGAGGAUUUGAUCACUGUUGGACUUAAAGAAUUCUCAUUUAUUUAUCUAUUUUGGGGGUUGGUUGGGUUCAGAAGUGGUUGAUGUGGUUGUGGUUUCCCUUGCGAUGCAUAUGCCAAACAAGUUUUGUGUUAUGAUUUUAUUUUUUUGCUACACAAAGUUCUCCAAGGUGUGAAAUUAAUUGGUUGUACCGGUUUUGUGCUCACCCCAUAUUGUUUUCAAAGAAAUUUGUAAAAAGUAUAGGUUUAUUUCUGUAAAUAAACACUUUGUUAAUUUUUUUACUUCUAUUCUGAUAAAUAUAGGGGCAUAUCACUUUGAGGAACACGAUUGUUCCAUCUUGAUACGUUGGCCAAAGUUUUUGAA